UACGUAGGGCGCAAGCGUUGUCCGGAUUUAUUGGGCGUAAAGAGCUCGUAGGCGGUCUGUCGCGUCGGCUGUGAAAACCCGAGGCUCAACCUCGGGCCUGCAGUCGAUACGGGCAGACUAGAGUGUGGUAGGGGAGACUGGAAUUCCUGGUGUAGCGGUGAAAUGCGCAGAUAUCGGAGGGAACAUCAGUGGCGAAAGCGACUUCCUGGACCAGUACCGACGUUCAGGCACGAAAGCGUGGGGAGCAAACAGG
RNAcentral lists this ribosomal RNA (253 nucleotides) under uncultured bacterium. Its description in RNAcentral is "partial 16S ribosomal RNA". It matches the Rfam family "Bacterial small subunit ribosomal RNA", at positions 524 to 776 of the family's 1533-position model. The record is from RNAcentral.